This 250-nucleotide unclassified non-coding RNA is filed under the name plant metagenome. RNAcentral describes it as "partial contains small subunit ribosomal RNA, internal transcribed spacer 1, and 5.8S ribosomal RNA". The record is from RNAcentral.
GUAGGUGAACCUGCGGAAGGAUCAUUAAAAAAUUCUGAAUGUUUUUGACGUUCUAAUUUCCACUCUGCGUACCUGUCUCUGUAAGCUUCCGUUGGGCAGCGGGCCCCAGCUAUUCUGGAGCCCCCUUCUGUUUGGGCGGAAACGUCCACUUUGACGGAAGAGUCCCGGCGGCGGCCAUCAAUUUACAAACUCUGUUGGAAAACGUGUGUCUCUCUGUCUGAUGAAAUGUUUGAAAAAAACUUAAAAGAUA